This 253-nucleotide ribosomal RNA is filed under the name uncultured bacterium. RNAcentral describes it as "partial 16S ribosomal RNA". It matches the Rfam family "Bacterial small subunit ribosomal RNA", at positions 524 to 776 of the family's 1533-position model. The record is from RNAcentral.
UACGUAGGGUGCGAGCGUUGUCCGGAAUUAUUGGGCGUAAAGGGCGCGCAGGCGGCUCAUUUUGUCAGGCGUGAAAGCCCCGGGCUUAACCUGGGAACUGCGUUUGAUACGGAUGGGCUAGAGUUCGGGAGAGGAGAGUGGAAUUCCCAGUGUAGAGGUGAAAUGCGUAGAUAUCUGGAGGAAUACCGGUGGCGAAGGCGGCAUCCUGGACCGAGAUUGACGCUGAUGAGCGAAAGCUAGGGGAGCAAACGGG